RNAcentral lists this ribosomal RNA (492 nucleotides) under uncultured bacterium. Its description in RNAcentral is "partial 16S ribosomal RNA". It matches the Rfam family "Bacterial small subunit ribosomal RNA", at positions 28 to 507 of the family's 1533-position model. The record is from RNAcentral.
GAUGAACGCUAGCUACAGGCUUAACACAUGCAGGUCGAGGGGAAACGGCAUCGAAAGCUUGCUUUUGAUGGGCGUCGACCGGCGCACGGGUGAGUAACGCGUAUCCAACCUGCCCAUCACUUGGGAAUAACCUUGCGAAAGUAAGACUAAUGCCCAAUGACAUCCCACGAAGGCAUCCGAAUGGGAUUAAAGAUUUAUCGGUGAUGGAUGGGGAUGCGUCUGAUUAGCUUGUUGGCGGGGUGACGGCCCACCAAGGCAACGAUCAGUAGGGGUUCUGAGAGGAAGGUCCCCCACAUUGGAACUGAGACACGGUCCAAACUCCUACGGGAGGCAGCAGUGAGGAAUAUUGGUCAAUGGGCGAGAGCCUGAACCAGCCAAGUAGCGUGCAGGAUGACGGCCCUAUGGGUUGUAAACUGCUUUUAUAAGGGAAUAAAGUGGGUCACGUGUGACUUUUUGCAUGUACCUUAUGAAUAAGGACCGGCUAAUUCCGUG